UGGGGAAUAUUGCGCAAUGGGCGAAAGCCUGACGCAGCGACGCCGCGUGAGGGAUGAAGGUUUUCGGAUCGUAAACCUCUGUCAGAAGGGAAGAAACCGCACUGUGCUAAUCAGCAGUGCCUUGACGGUACCUUCAAAGGAAGCACCGGCUAACUCCGUGCCAGCAGCCGCGGUAAUACGGAGGGUGCAAGCGUUAAUCGGAAUUACUGGGCGUAAAGCGUACGUAGGCUGCUUUGUAAGUCAGGGGUGAAAUCCCACGGCUCAACCGUGGAACUGCCUUUGAUACUGCUUAGCUUGAAUCCGGGAGAGGGUGGCGGAAUUCCAGGUGUAGGAGUGAAAUCCGUAGAUAUCUGGAGGAACAUCAGUGGCGAAGGCGGCCACCUGGACCGGUAUUGACGCUGAGGUGCGAAAGCGUGGGGAGCAAACAGG
This 429-nucleotide ribosomal RNA is filed under the name Fusobacteriota bacterium. RNAcentral describes it as "Fusobacteria bacterium partial 16S ribosomal RNA". It matches the Rfam family "Bacterial small subunit ribosomal RNA", at positions 355 to 776 of the family's 1533-position model. The record is from RNAcentral. Lineage: Bacteria; Fusobacteriati; Fusobacteriota.